RNAcentral lists this ribosomal RNA (468 nucleotides) under uncultured bacterium. RNAcentral's name for it is "partial 16S ribosomal RNA". It matches the Rfam family "Bacterial small subunit ribosomal RNA", at positions 28 to 507 of the family's 1533-position model. The record is from RNAcentral.
GACGAACGCUGGCGGCGUGCUUAACACAUGCAAGUCGAACGGAAAGGCCCUGCUUUUGUGGGGUGCUCGAGUGGCGAACGGGUGAGUAACACGUGAGUAACCUGCCCUUGACUUUGGGAUAACUUCAGGAAACUGGGGCUAAUACCGGAUAGGAGCUCCUGCUGCAUGGUGGGGGUUGGAAAGUUUCGGCGGUUGGGGAUGGACUCGCGGCUUACCAGCUUGUUGGUGGGGUAGUGGCUUACCAAGGCUUUGACGGGUAGCCGGCCUGAGAGGGUGACCGGCCAUAUUGGGACUGAGAUACGGCCCAGACUCCUACGGGAGGCAGCAGUGGGGAAUAUUGCACAAUGGGCGGAAGCCUGAUGCAGCAACGCCGCGUGCGGGAUGACGGCCUUCGGGUUGUAAACCGCUUUCGCCUGUGACGAAGCGUGAGUGACGGUAAUGGGUAAAGAAGCACCGGCUAACUACGUG